AUGAUGAAGAAUCUGAGGAGGAAGAAGUGGUGCAUUAUGAGGGUGACACAGAGGUUGAGGAACCUUUUCAAAUGGAUGAAGAUGAUAGUUGUUUCACAGGAUGAAGAAACUGUAAUUGCACAUGAAAAGAAGAAGAAGAAGAAGAAGAAGAAGAAGAAGAAGAAGAAGAAACAGAAGCUUCCAGUUAGGAAAGGGCCUACAACAAGGACACAUUCAAGUGUAGUUCAAGAGGAGGAACCUGAUUUCAAACCUUCAUCUGACGAAGAAGAGAAAGGAUUGUUGAAGGAGGCUGAUGAUGAUGGUUAUGAGCCAUUGUCAUUUAUGCUGCGAAAGAAAAGGAAGAGCAGGGCAAAGCAGAGGCCUCCUAGAAAAUGGCACAAUGAGAAAAUGGAGGCACCACAUGAGCAAUUAUGUCUAAAGAUGUGUUUCAAGGAUCAACAUCAAUUCAGAGAGGCUUUGUUGAACUUACACAUCACUCAAGGUAGAAACUUGAAAUAUCAUAGGAACUCAGAUCAAAGAAUAAUUGUACAAUGCAACCAAAAACAUUGCAACUUCUUUAUGGUGGCAGCAGUUAUAAAAGGUAAAACUACUUUUGUAAUUAAGAAGAUGAGAAUUAAGCGCACUUGCCCUAUUAGUACAAAGACAACAAGGGUAAGUGCCAAGUGGCUUGCACAGAAGUAUGAGUCACUGUUCAGAUCUGAUCUAACAACUGUCAUUCAGACUUUGAUUGAUGCCUGCAUGGAGAAGUAUGGUGUGGAUGUGCCCAAGUCAAUGGCAUAUAGGGCAAAGAACCUAGCUAUUGAUGUUGUGCUAGGAGACCACAAGAAGCAAUACCCUAGGUUGAAAGACUAUGCUCAGACAGUGAUGGAUACAAACCCUGGGAGUAGAGUAGUAGUCACUACUGUAACUCCAACAUCCACUGAAAAAAAAUCCCCCAUCCAGGUCCAAGAUUCCAUGCUAUGUUCUAUUGCAUCAAUGGAGCAAGGGAGGGGUUGA
RNAcentral lists this ribosomal RNA (996 nucleotides) under Triticum aestivum (bread wheat). RNAcentral describes it as "partial small subunit ribosomal RNA". Lineage: Eukaryota; Viridiplantae; Streptophyta; Magnoliopsida; Poales; Poaceae. The record is from RNAcentral.